GGAUGUGAGGGUGACCCUGCUGUAACAUCUGUCACCCCAUUGAUGGCCAAGGUUGAUGUGGCUGCUCUGGCUGCCUAGGUGAGUGUCCCCUUUCUCCCCCAUGGUUCCAUGUGUGUUCCUCCCAAAGCUGCCCACUCAGUGGAAGAGGACAACCUUACCUGAUAGAGAAGGAUUGUUCUUCAAAGGUAUUCGGGUAACUCCCCUGCUAGAUCUCCAAACAAGCUCUAAAGUACCAGUUGUAGAAGACGAGGUGAAUCGAGCUUCUAAGAUUCUAGAUACACCCAAAUGAGGUGCUACGUGUGGCAGCCUGCCUUUCUCA
This 319-nucleotide small nuclear RNA is filed under the name Ailuropoda melanoleuca (giant panda). RNAcentral describes it as "7SK RNA". It matches the Rfam family "7SK RNA". From Rfam's summary of the family: 7SK was discovered as an abundant small nuclear RNA in the mid-70s but a possible function has only recently been suggested. Two independent studies have found that 7SK RNA binds the CDK9/cyclin T complex (known as elongation factor P-TEFb). P-TEFb activates transcription by phosphorylating the C-terminal domain of RNA polymerase II. Lineage: Eukaryota; Metazoa; Chordata; Mammalia; Carnivora; Ursidae. The record is from Rfam by way of RNAcentral.